CGGAAUGUGCAAACGUUAUUCGGAAUCACUGGGCUUAAAGAGUCCGUAGGCGGCAUGUUAGGUGAGGUGUGAAAUCCCCCGGCUCAACCGAGGAAUUGCGCUUCAAACCGGCGUGCUUGAGGAAGAUAGAGGUGGGCGGAACUGAUGGUGGAGCGGUGAAAUGCGUUGAUAUUAUCAGGAACACCGGAGGCGAAAGCGGCCCACUGGGUCUUUUCUGACGCUGAGGGACGAAAGCUAGGGGAGCGAACGGGAUUAGAUACCCCGGUAGUCCUAGCCUUAAACGAUGAGCACUAGACCGAAGGAUCUCCACGAUUUUUUGGUCGUAGCGAAAGUGUUAAGUGCUCCGCCUGGGGAGUAUGGUCGCAAGGCUG
RNAcentral lists this ribosomal RNA (371 nucleotides) under uncultured organism. RNAcentral describes it as "bacterial SSU rRNA". It matches the Rfam family "Bacterial small subunit ribosomal RNA", at positions 526 to 896 of the family's 1533-position model. The record is from RNAcentral.